UUGGACAAUGGGGAAGUCCAAUUUUGUUGCUUUAUUAUGGGUUUCACUUGUGUUGUUAUUUCUUCCACUUUUCUAUGGAGGAUUGGCUAUGGGUACAGGCACUCUAGAUGGUUCAGAAAAAUGGGGUUAUGUUGAAGUCAGGCCUAAAGCUCAUAUGUUUUGGUGGUACUACAAAAGUCCUUAUAGAACUCAAGAUCCCAACAAUCCUUGGCCUAUAAUUCUUUGGUUGCAAGGUGGACCUGGUGCUUCAGGAGUUGGGAUUGGAAAUUUUGAAGAAGUAGGCCCACUGGACUCCUUCUUGAAGCCCAGAAACUCUACAUGGCUCAGAAAAGCAGAUCUAUUGUUUGUGGAUAAUCCAGUUGGGACGGGAUACAGUUAUGUUGAGGAUGAAGAGCUAUUGGUGAAAACUGAUGAAGAAGCUGCAACAGAUUUAACCACAUUAUUGAUUGCAAUAUUCAACAAAAAUGAAACCUUGCAAAAGAGUCCUCUUUAUAUAGUGGCAGAGUCUUAUGGUGGCAAAUAUGCAGUCACUCUUGGACUUUCUGCUCUCAAAGCCAUUGAAGAUCAAAGAUUAAAGCUCAUUCUUGGAGGAAUUGCACUAGGAGAUAGCUGGAUCUCACCUGAAGACUUUGUGGAAUCAUGGGGUCCACUUCUGAAGGAUGUUUCAAGGAUAGACGACAACGGUUUAACCGAAUCAAACAGUCUAGUUGAGAAAAUCAAGCUGCAAAUAGCGAACGGGAAAUGGACAGAUGCUACGCAGACAUGGAGUAAUCUUGAAAGUCUUAUUAGCGACCAUAGCAACGGUGUUGAUUUCUACAAUUUUUUGUUGGAUUCGGGGAUGGAUCUGAUGUCAAUGGAAGCGACAGAGGUAGUGAGAGCGACCCCGAGGAUAAAGUAUAUUAGAUAUCUCGAUUCUUUAAAGAGUUCUCCGGAUGAAAACGGUGAUAUUGGUCUCUUGAUGAAUGGCGCUGUUAGAAAGAAACUUGGGAUUAUCCCAAAUGAUGUGAAAUGGGGAGGACAGCAGGGGCGGACCUGUAGUGUAAACGGGCGUAGCCCAGGCUACGGCUCAAGUUUUUACCAGAAGUGUAAAAAAAAAUUUCUUUUUUCGAUUUUUAUACACAGGACACCCCUGAACAAGUACGAGGACACCCAUAAAAAAUUUUGGGAUACCCCUGAGUUGAAGGUCUAGUUCCGCCACUGGAGGACAGUCUAGUCUUGUUUUUGGGUACUUAGAAGGCGAUUUUAUGCGACCAAGAAUUAACGAGGUUGAUGAACUAUUGAGCAAAGGAGUUAAUGUGACUAUAUAUAAUGGUCAGCUUGAUCUUAUAUGUUCAACAAAAGGAACUGAAGCAUGGGUUAAAAAGCUCAAGUGGGAAGGUCUAAAGACAUUCUUGAGCAUUGAUAGAACACCACUAUAUUGUGGAGAUGUUUCAAUCACAAAAGGGUUCACAAAGUCUUAUCGAAAUUUACAUUUCUAUUGGAUUCUUGGAGCCGGUCACUUUGUACCGGUAGAUCAACCAUGUAUAGCAUUGGAAAUGAUGGUUAACUUCACUCGGUCUCUUGUGUCUACAAAGUAAAAAAACAAACUAGAGAAGACAUCAAAAUAUCAUUAUAUGCAAAAAUUUAAAUAAUUAUAAUUCCAAAAAAGAAAUCAAUACUCUUAUGAACUCAGUGUCUCUGAAUUUGUUUUAAUUCAUUUAAUAAAUAUUUUUAAGUGAA
Helianthus annuus (common sunflower) is the source of this 1719-nucleotide RNA transcript. It is a transcript of the gene named serine carboxypeptidase-like 51, with no coding region annotated. NCBI's taxonomy places the organism in Eukaryota, Viridiplantae, Streptophyta, Magnoliopsida, Asterales, Asteraceae. The record is from RefSeq and is a predicted model, not a curated record. The transcript is spliced from 13 exons.